This 465-nucleotide ribosomal RNA is filed under the name uncultured bacterium. RNAcentral's name for it is "partial 16S ribosomal RNA". It matches the Rfam family "Bacterial small subunit ribosomal RNA", at positions 338 to 795 of the family's 1533-position model. The record is from RNAcentral.
UCUACGGGUGGCAGCAGUGGGGAAUAUUGCGCAAUGGGCGAAAGCCUGACGCAGCGACGCCGCGUGAGGGAUGAAGGUCUUCGGAUCGUAAACUUCUGUCAGCAGGGAAGAACGGUCACUGUGCUAAUCAGCAGUGAAUUGACGGUACCUGCAAAGGAAGCACCGGCUAACUCCGUGCCAGCAGCCGCGGUAAUACGGAGGGUGCGAGCGUUAAUCGGAAUUACGGGGCGUAAAGCGCUCGUAGGCGGUAUGUCAAGUCAAGUGUGAAAUCCCCGGGCUCAACGUGGGAACUGCUUUUGAUACUGGCAGACUGGAGUGUGUGAGAGGAUGGUGGAAUUCCAGGUGUAGGAGUGAAAUGCGUAGAGAUCUGGAGGAACAUCAGUGGCGAAGGCGACUAUCUGGCACAUAACUGACGCUGAGGAGCGAAAGCGUGGGUAGCAAACAGGAUUAGAUACCCGUGUAGUC